GACGAACGCUGGCGGCGUGCUUAACACAUGCAAGUCGAGCGAGGCCCCUCCUUCGGGAGGGUGUCCUAGCGGCGAACGGGUGAGUAACACGUGGGCAACCUGCCCUCAGCUCUGGGAUAACUCCGGGAAACCGGGGCUAAUACCGGAUACGACCUCCACGGGCAUCUGCGGGGGUGGAAAGUUUUUCGGCUGAGGAUGGGCCCGCGGCCUAUCAGCUAGUUGGUGGGGUAGUGGCCCACCAAGGCGACGACGGGUAGCCGGCCUGAGAGGGCGACCGGCCACACUGGGACUGAGACACGGCCCAGACUCCUACGGGAGGCAGCAGUGGGGAAUAUUGCGCAAUGGGCGAAAGCCUGACGCAGCGACGCCGCGUGAGGGACGAAGGCCUUCGGGUUGUAAACCUCUUUCAGCAGGGACGAAGCGAAAGUGACGGUACCUGCAGAAGAAGCACCGGCCAACUACGUG
This 465-nucleotide ribosomal RNA is filed under the name uncultured bacterium. Its description in RNAcentral is "partial 16S ribosomal RNA". It matches the Rfam family "Bacterial small subunit ribosomal RNA", at positions 28 to 507 of the family's 1533-position model. The record is from RNAcentral.